This 24-nucleotide non-coding RNA is filed under the name Mus musculus (house mouse). RNAcentral also lists the same sequence under 1 other name. Lineage: Eukaryota; Metazoa; Chordata; Mammalia; Rodentia; Muridae. The record is from RNAcentral.
GCUUGUCUCAAAGAUUAAGCCAUG